ACCAACUCAAACAGCCACUGUGGAGUCUCCCCGCAGCUCCCGUGGGACGGUGGAUCCACGAGAGGAAGGACACAUGUGGGCACUGCAAAGGAAACAGAAGUUUUACAUUGAUGGUAGCAGACAUUACUGGAAGAGGUGCCCCAAGCCGGUAUCAACAUCAGGCUGUGGUUCCAGCCUGAAGACUCUGGCCAUGAGCGGACCAUCUCCCCCCACACAGUGUGGAAGCAUUCGGGCUCGACCUUCUAUCAAUGUGCAAGCGGUCCAUCUAUUCCACUGAGAUGUUUCGAUGACGAAUUCUCACCUUCUUUGGAAUAAGCAGGCUAUGUUAACCAGGGGUAGGAGGGGUGGCACACAAAAACCCCAUCCUGGAAAUUCUUUUCUCAGAAUUACACAUGUUGGCACUGUAUCCUGGAACCUCAUUCUCAGCAGAUAGUUGCCAGUAGAGCAAAACAUGCUGUCUAGAAAAUCUAAUAACAAAAUAUUCAUUCGGUGCAUUAUCCUACCUCCCUAGAUAACAAAGGACAUCAAAUUAUCAUCAGAUCUUUCCGUCCAGGCAAUUCAUAGCUCCCUUCUACUUCGGGGUCUGCAGAAGUUCACCCACUGCAAAGUCAGCACCACUGGGAUAUUACCAGAAGAGGGCAGAGGGAUGUGGGUAGUAGUCUUGGUUUGUGACUUUAUAUAAUUCUGACAUUUGGUUUCCCCAGAUGCCUCCUCAAUUAAUCUGGAGAGGGGGCUGGAACAGAAAUUGCUCAUGCCCACAGACUGUUUGGCCCCAGGGGGCAAACCCUCUGGUCAGACUUUCACAAUAAAGAAAGAUCCAGGGACACUGGCCAUGACAAGGACAGGGUCAAUGUGUGGAUGUUCUCAAAUGCAAUACUUGGUUAUUUCAUUGUGCAAGAAAACAUGGAUUAUGCAUUUCAUAAUUAAGUCAUUUCUAUAUUUUAAAUUCAUAUUAAUAGAAAUUGAAUGCUAUUUAUUUAAAUAACUUUUAAUAAAUGUUAUUCUCAGCAAUGUUAUAUAUUUA
Long non-coding RNA from Ailuropoda melanoleuca (giant panda), 1024 nucleotides. RefSeq lists it as uncharacterized. The transcript has 3 exons. The record is from RefSeq and is a predicted model, not a curated record. Lineage: Eukaryota; Metazoa; Chordata; Mammalia; Carnivora; Ursidae.